CUAAUACAUGCAAGUCAAGCGCGGGAAGCCGGACAGAUCCCUUCGGGGUGACGACCGGUGGAACGAGCGGCGGAUGGGUGAGUAACACGUGGGCAACCUGCCUGUAAGCCUGGGAUAACUCGCGGAAACGCGAGCUAAUACCGGAUGCGCCUUUUGUUCGCAUGAACGAAAGGUAAAAGGCGGUUUUUGCUGUCACUUACAGAUGGGCCCGCGGCGCAUUAGCUAGUUGGUGAGGUAACGGCUCACCAAAGCGACGAUGCGUAGCCGACCUGAGAGGGUGAUCGGCCACACUGGGACUGAGACACGGCCCAGACUCCUACGGGAGGCAGCAGUAGGGAAUCUUCCGCAAUGGACGAAAGUCUGACGGAGCGACGCCGCGUGAGUGAUGAAGGUCUUCGGAUCGUAAAACUCUGUUGUUAGGGAAGAACAGGUACCGUUCGAAUAGGUCGGUACCUUGACGGUACCUAACCAGAAAGCCCCGGCUAACUACGUGCCAGCAGCCGCGGUAAUACGUAGGGGGCAAGCGUUGUCCGGAAUUAUUGGGCGUAAAGGGCGCGCAGGCGGUCUUCUAAGUCUGAUGUGAAAGCCCACGGCUUAACCGUGGAAGGUCAUUGGAAACUGGGGGACUUGAGUGCAGAAGAGGAGAGUGGAAUUCCAUGUGUAGCGGUGAAAUGCGUAGAGAUAUGGAGGAACACCAGUGGCGAAGGCGA
RNAcentral lists this ribosomal RNA (710 nucleotides) under uncultured bacterium. Its description in RNAcentral is "bacterial SSU rRNA". It matches the Rfam family "Bacterial small subunit ribosomal RNA", at positions 48 to 724 of the family's 1533-position model. The record is from RNAcentral.